This is a non-coding RNA of Pelobates cultripes (western spadefoot toad), 265 nucleotides long. The record is from the annotation of a GenBank genome assembly. NCBI's taxonomy places the organism in Eukaryota, Metazoa, Chordata, Amphibia, Anura, Pelobatidae.
CUAAUUUAAAUCUUUUAAUUGAUACUAUUGACAAUGCCUUUAAUAGCACAGGACUUGCUAUCAGUUUGCUUAAUUAUGAGCAAGAACAGAUUAGACAGGUAGCUUUGCAAAACAGAAUAGCCUUAGAUUACUUGCUUGCAGCAGAAGGAGGAGUAUGCAAAAGAAUAGGAGGCAAGGCAUGUUGUGUGUGGAUAGAAGAUAAAUCAGGGAAAGUUAAGCAUGAGCUUCAGCAUUUAGAAGAGAUACAAAAACGCUUUAGAAAACC